AACGCACAUUGCACUCCUCAGUUUUCUGGGGAGUAUGCUUGUUUGAGUACCGUUUCAUCCCAUCAUGGCAUUAUAUGUCUUUUCUCCUCUUGUUAGGAGAAAGAUGUAGAAGCUGUGGAUUUGGUUUGUCUGCAGGCAUGCUUUUAUGCCUCAGUGAACUUAAAUAUGUUGUCCGGAGUCUUGCUUCCCUGCUUUGGGGUAGCUAAGGUGUAUUUUAGCUCCGAAUGCUCAGUGAUAGAAUGAUGUAGGGGUGUAAUGCCCUUGCUUUUUUGUCAGUGAGUGGUUGAGAUAAUUAUGACCUUUGUUGCCUGUACAGUGUAGUGCUGUAUGAAAAACCAAGCGGCUUGGUGUUGGAGCUUAAGUCACACGGCUCAUUUUUGUUACAUGCCAGGCAGUGGUGCUUUUGUGGUACUGCUGAAUACCUGAACCUUUGGUCUCAAAUCAAGUAAGAACACCCGCUGAACUUAA
Molecule: unclassified non-coding RNA, 468 nt
Filed under: uncultured fungus
Lineage: Eukaryota; Fungi
Description: partial contains 5.8S ribosomal RNA, internal transcribed spacer 2, and large subunit ribosomal RNA
Source: RNAcentral